Molecule: ribosomal RNA, 131 nt
Filed under: Xanthoparmelia conspersa
Lineage: Eukaryota; Fungi; Ascomycota; Lecanoromycetes; Lecanorales; Parmeliaceae
Description: partial small subunit ribosomal RNA
Source: RNAcentral
UUUAAGAUAAUAGUAAGAAAAUUAAGAAAAAAGCAAUAAGAUAUAAUUACAAGCGUUGCACGGCUGUCUUCAGUUAAUGUCGCGAGACUUUGGUUAGUUCCAUUAAAUUAACGUAAACCCUUACUUUAUUU